AUACCUUUCUCGGCCUUUUGGCUAAGAUCAAGUGUAGUAUCUGUUCUUAUCAGUUUAAUAUCUGAUACGUGGACCAUUGGUUCACUAUGAUAUUAAAUUAAUUUUUCUUUGGGGAGGAUGCAUGCGGUAACUAGCUGUUGGUCCUUAAAGCGUGUCAUCCUUAUGUUGCACUAUUAUGGGGUUUGAGCUUUGAGUU
Zingiber officinale is the source of this 196-nucleotide small nuclear RNA. RefSeq annotates it as U2 spliceosomal RNA. The transcript has a single exon. NCBI's taxonomy places the organism in Eukaryota, Viridiplantae, Streptophyta, Magnoliopsida, Zingiberales, Zingiberaceae. The record is from RefSeq and is a predicted model, not a curated record.